Molecule: non-coding RNA, 559 nt
Organism: Microcebus murinus (gray mouse lemur)
Lineage: Eukaryota; Metazoa; Chordata; Mammalia; Primates; Cheirogaleidae
Source: RefSeq, a predicted model, not a curated record
CCAAGUAGGUUCCCAGCUAAGACAGCUGAGGUGGCUGCUGUGUUUGCAGAAUGGUCUCUAUAAAAGUGGAGCUGAGAUGCCUCUGUCCUGUCCUUCCUCAAAAUUCUUGCAGUAGUUGUCUGCUUUGAGCCUGCCACCUUCUUCAUCUGGUAACACAAGAGUAAAAUGAGGAGGAUGGUGACUAAGGUCUUUCCAGCUCUUGCCAUCUAUGAUCAAAGUCAGUGGUUUCCAAGGAGUCCUCCACAGACUCAAUGGACCUCCUCUAACUGUGCAUGUUGAGACAGGUACUUUUAGCAUUAUGUUAAGACCAUACAUAAUAAUGAAAGUCUAUUGUUUUUAAGAAUUAUUUUAAGUGUUUUAUUUAAUACAGUAGCUAUAUAUAUUCAUUUAGAAAAGGACAGAAAACAUAGUGUUUGUGUGGAAAUGUUGCUUGUUGAAACUUGAGGCAAUUAUCACUGUGUGCAUGGAUUCAAGGACUCCUUCGAACAAACCUGAGGCUCCUUGGGGACUUGUGGCCCACAAGUUGGAAAACGACUGAUCUAAGAUAUGAGAUGAGAAC